UACGUAGGGGGCUAGCGUUGUCCGGAUUUAUUGGGCGUAAAGAGCGUGUAGGCGGCCAGGUAGGUCUGGUGUGAAAACUCGAGGCUUAACCUCGAGAUGUCAUCGGAAACCAUCUGGCUAGAGUCCGGAAGAGGAAAGUGGAAUUCCUGGUGUAGCGGUGAAAUGCGUAGAUAUCUGGAGGAACACCGGUGGCGAAGGCGGCAUCCUGGACCGACACUGACGCUGAGGAGCGAAAGCCAGGGGAGCAAACGGG
Molecule: ribosomal RNA, 253 nt
Filed under: uncultured bacterium
Lineage: Bacteria
Description: partial 16S ribosomal RNA
Rfam family: Bacterial small subunit ribosomal RNA
Source: RNAcentral